RNAcentral lists this ribosomal RNA (883 nucleotides) under uncultured bacterium. RNAcentral's name for it is "bacterial SSU rRNA". It matches the Rfam family "Bacterial small subunit ribosomal RNA", at positions 579 to 1462 of the family's 1533-position model. The record is from RNAcentral.
UCNGGAAAGUCUGGAGUAAAAGGCUAUGGCUCAACCAUAGUGUGCUCUGGAAACUNUCUGACUUGAGUGCAGAAGGGGAGAGUGGAAUUCCAUGUGUAGCGGUGAAAUGCGUAGAUAUAUGGAGGAACACCGGUGGCGAAAGCGGCUCUCUGGUCUGUCACUGACGCUGAGGCUCGAAAGCGUGGGUAGCGAACAGGAUUAGAUACCCUGGUAGUCCACGCCGUAAACGAUGAGUGCUAGGUGUUAGGCCCUUUCCGGGGCUUAGUGCCGGAGCUAACGCAAUAAGCACUCCGCCUGGGGAGUACGACCGCAAGGUUGAAACUCAAAGGAAUUGACGGGGGCCCGCACAAGCGGUGGAGCAUGUGGUUUAAUUCGAAGCAACGCGAAGAACCUUACCAGGUCUUGACAUCCCGAUGCUAUUCUUAGAGAUAGGAAGUUACUUCGGUACAUCGGAGACAGGUGGUGCAUGGUUGUCGUCAGCUCGUGUCGUGAGAUGUUGGGUUAAGUCCCGCAACCAGCGCAACCCUUAUUGUUAGUUGCCAUCAUUAAGUUGGGCACUCUAGCGAGACUGCCGGUAAUAAACCGGAGGAAGGUGGGGAUGACGUCAAAUCAUCAUGCCCCUUAUGACCUGGGCUACACACGUGCUACAAUGGUCGGUACAACGAGUUGCGAGCCGGUGACGGCAAGCUAAUCUCUGAAAGCCGAUCUCAGUUCGGAUUGGAGGCUGCAACUCGCCUCCAUGAAGUCGGAAUCGCUAGUAAUCGCGGAUCAGCACGCCGCGGUGAAUACGUUCCCGGGCCUUGUACACACCGCCCGUCACACCACGAGAGUUUGUAACACCCGAAGUCGGUGAGGUAACCUUUUAGGGGCCAGCCGCNUAAGG